AGUGAACGCUGGCGGCAGGCCUAACACAUGCAAGUCGAGCGGCAGCGCGGGGGCAACCCUGGCGGCGAGCGGCGGACGGGUGAGGAAUUCGUCGGAAUCUGCCUUUUUGUGGGGGAUAACGUAGGGAAACUUACGCUAAUACCGCAUACGUCCUACGGGAGAAAGUGGGGGACCGCAAGGCCUCACGCAGAAAGAUGAGCCGACGACCGAUUAGCUAGUUGGUGGGGUAAAGGCCCACCAAGGCGACGAUCGGUAGCUGGUCUGAGAGGAUGAUCAGCCACACUGGGACUGAGACACGGCCCAGACUCCUACGGGAGGCAGCAGUGGGGAAUAUUGGACAAUGGGCGCAAGCCUGAUCCAGCCAUGCCGCGUGUGUCAAGAAGGCCUUCGGGUUGUAAAGCACUUUUGUCCGGAAAGAAAUCCCUGGAGCUAAUACCUUCGGGGGAUGACGGUACCGGAAGAAUAAGCACCGGCUAACUUCGUG
Molecule: ribosomal RNA, 484 nt
Filed under: uncultured bacterium
Lineage: Bacteria
Description: partial 16S ribosomal RNA
Rfam family: Bacterial small subunit ribosomal RNA
Source: RNAcentral